GACGAACGCUGGCGGCGUGCCUAAUACAUGCAAGUCGAGCGAACAGAUGCGGACCUGGCUCCUCCGACGCUAGCGGCGGACGGGUGAGUAACACGCGGAUUACCUAUCUCUAAGACAGGGAUCACUUCGGGAAACCGGAGUUCCUACCGCAAAAUAUAUUGACCCGCAUGGUUCAGUAGUGAAAGACGGGUUUGCUGUCACUUAUAGAUGGAUCCGCGUCUGAUUAGCUAGUUGGUAAGGUAACGGCUUACCAAGGCAACGAUGCGUAGCCGACCCGAGAGGGCGAUCGGCCGCCCUGGAACUGAGGCACGGGCCCGACUCCUACGGGAGGCACGAGCAGGGCAUCUUCCGGAAUGGGCGGUAGCGUGACGGGGGAAAGCCGCGUGAGUGAUGAAGGGCUUCGGAUCGUAAAACACUGUUAUUAGGGAAGAGCAAAUGUGUAAGUAACUGUGCACGUCUUGACGGUACCUGCAGAGAAAGCCACGGCUAACUACGUG
This 497-nucleotide ribosomal RNA is filed under the name uncultured bacterium. Its description in RNAcentral is "partial 16S ribosomal RNA". It matches the Rfam family "Bacterial small subunit ribosomal RNA", at positions 28 to 507 of the family's 1533-position model. The record is from RNAcentral.